Molecule: long non-coding RNA, 2012 nt
Filed under: Sus scrofa (pig)
Lineage: Eukaryota; Metazoa; Chordata; Mammalia; Artiodactyla; Suidae
Description: lncRNA (ENSSSCG00055006138.1)
Source: RNAcentral
AGGCCUGGCGUGACAAUCGGUCUGCGCGGGCGCAGUGGCGGCAGCCGCUGCACCCGCGUGGCUAGAAGCCCACGGUCUGCAGGCGAGUUGAGGUUUCAGGUCAUUCCAGCUCCGGCCGUGGGGCCCCGCUCAGACGCGCGCCUGUCUCCUGGUGAAAUCCUGGAGGCUGUCCUUUCCACCGUCCUGUCUGCACGAGGAGGACACAGGGGUCAGCUUCCUGGGAGAAGGGAGUCGUCCGGAUGGCUGGUCCCCGGAGGGGUGACUUACUGCAUGAACAUCGAAAUCAGAUGAACCCUGACGGCGACAGCGAUGGUAAUAGCGCCACUGGCGGGGUGUAUGGGGGGGUAGCGGGCAAAGCCCGUGGGGCAAAUGUCUUUCUUAAACCCUCCUCAUAAAUCUAAGAUCUCACUGUCACCCACGAGGGGACGGAGCCCGGGGCCUCGGGACCUGAGCUGGUUCUCUGGGUGAGAGGAGGAGGAGGCUUCCUGGGGGGCCGUGUGCCUUUGGCCCGCGUCCUUCACGGUGGCUCUGUCCUCUGGGGGCAGCUGAUCGAACGGGCCUUUCUGUGUGGACAUCACUUGUUCCCAGUGGAGCCCUGGGGGCUAAAAAUAACCAUGUGUUUUCUGUUUUAUCCAAAAAAGAGGAACUGUGCAGUGUGUUUCAUAACAUCUACUAUUUUUGAAAACCUGAAUUUUUUCCACUUUUUUUUAAAUGCCUUUGGGGCUGUCCUUGGAGGGAGAGGCUUUGGUGGAGGUUUCACCAGGGGUCCCUCUGUUUGGUCGUCCAGAUCCUCAGGAAAUGGCUGCAGGAGAAGGGAACUGUCCCCCCGCACACAUGGCCAAGGGGUGGACUUAACACAGGGGUCAUGGGAGGGGAGCCAGAUCUCAGGGGCACCUGAGACCUCAUAGCACAGGCUGGAGGGGAGAAGGGACCGGCCCAGGGGCUGGGCAGGCCUGUUCCGUGUACAGGGGGAGGCGUGCUGACCCCGGCCACAUGCUGCCUCCACGACAGCCAGGCCUCGUGGUCCAGGCUCAGCGUCCAUCUUUCCCCUGACCCCGCUCUCCCAGGUUGGGGCAAGGCCUGAUGCUCCUAAGAUGAGCCACGAGCCAUGAGCCCCCGGGUCCCGGUUGUUCUUGGGUUCCUCUGUUGUUGGCAACCAGGCUAAGAUGGUCAUCCUGGGGUCUGCUGAUGCUAGGGUGGCUCCCUGCCCUUCUCACUGAGACUCUGGAGCGUUAGGAAAUCAUGGAAAGAGCAAACACAGUGAAAGACACGUCGCCCGCAGCCCAGGAAGCUGGAAUGUGGGUGUGGCAUCCCUGAGACCACGCGGGUGUUUCUGGGUGAGCCAAGGGCAGAGGGACCAGGCGGGUGUGGGAGUGGCUGGACGCCAAGAGGACCUGCCCACUGCUGCAACCCAAGGGCAGAGUGGGCCCUUCACACGUGACGUGGCUGCCAGCAUCUGCAGAGGUGAGCAGAGGCAUGGGGCGGAGCAGGAGGUGUUAGAAUGUGUGGCAAGAGCACGAUUCCUCUAGAGUCGGCAGUAAUUUGGAGACUGGAACAGGGACAGACUGACACCUGAUCUCAGUAGACAAGCCAGGAGCAGACCCUUACGGGAAGGCCGAGGCUGUGGCACCAAGCUUAUAGAAACCGUGAGGGAGGGCAGCUGUGCCUGGAGAGCAGAUUAAUUCUGGGCUGCAGGACUCUGGAUAAGUUAAAGAAAAAGUGCAUCUGCAUCUUUCUAAACCAACUGUGGGGAGUUCCCAUUGUGGCACAGUCAAGACAAAUCCGACUAGGAACCAUGAGGUUGCGGGUUCGAUCCUUGGCCUCGCUCUGUGGGUUAAGGAUCUGACAUUGCCGUGAGCUGUGGUGUAGGUUGCAGACACGGCUCGGAUCCUGCGUGGCUGUGGCUGUGGCGAAGGCUGGCGGCUACAGCUUGGAUUGGACCGCUAGCCUGUGAACCUCCAUGUGCCGUGGGUGCUGGCCUAAAAAGACAAAAGACAAAAAAAAAAAAAAAA